Molecule: ribosomal RNA, 465 nt
Filed under: Vreelandella stevensii
Lineage: Bacteria; Pseudomonadati; Pseudomonadota; Gammaproteobacteria; Oceanospirillales; Halomonadaceae
Description: partial 16S ribosomal RNA
Rfam family: Bacterial small subunit ribosomal RNA
Source: RNAcentral
CCUACGGGGGGCAGCAGUGGGGAAUAUUGGACAAUGGGCGAAAGCCUGAUCCAGCCAUGCCGCGUGUGUGAAGAAGGCCUUCGGGUUAUAAAGCACUUUCAGUGGGGAAGAAAGCCUUGGGGCUAAUACCCUCGAGGAAGGACAUCACCCACAGAAGAAGCACCGGCUAACUCCGUGCCAGCAGCCGCGGUAAUACGGAGGGUGCGAGCGUUAAUCGGAAUUACUGGGCGUAAAGCGCGCGUAGGCGGUCUGAUAAGCCGGUUGUGAAAGCCCCGGGCUCAACCUGGGAACGGCAUCCGGAACUGUCAGGCUAGAGUGCAGGAGAGGAAGGUAGAAUUCCCGGUGUAGCGGUGAAAUGCGUAGAGAUCGGGAGGAAUACCAGUGGCGAAGGCGGCCUUCUGGACUGACACUGACGCUGAGGUGCGAAAGCGUGGGUAGCAAACAGGAUUAGAUACCCUAGUAGUC